RNAcentral lists this ribosomal RNA (262 nucleotides) under uncultured archaeon. Its description in RNAcentral is "partial 16S ribosomal RNA". It matches the Rfam family "Archaeal small subunit ribosomal RNA", at positions 748 to 1009 of the family's 1478-position model. The record is from RNAcentral.
CAGCCGUAAACUAUGCGCGUUAGGUGUAUCGGUGACCACGAGUUACCGAGGUGCCGAAGGGAAACCGUGAAACGUGCCGCCUGGGAAGUACGGUCGCAAGGCUGAAACUUAAAGGAAUUGGCGGGGGAGCACCACAACAGGGUGGAGCCUGCGGUUUAAUUGGACUCAACGCCGGGAAGCUCACCGGAUAAGACAGCGGAAUGAUUGCCGGGCUGAAGACUCUGCAUGACUAGCUGAGAGGAGGUGCAUGGCGUAGACGUCU